UACGUAGGGUGCAAGCGUUGUCCGGAAUUAUUGGGCGUAAAGAGCUCGUAGGCGGUUCGUCGCGUCGGCUGUGAAAACCCGGAGCUCAACUCCGGGCCUGCAGUCGAUACGGGCGGACUUGAGUGUUGCAGGGGAGACUGGAAUUCCAGGUGUAGCGGUGAAAUGCGUAGAUAUCUGGAGGAACACCGGUGGCGAAGGCGGCAUCCUGGACCGGUAUUGACGCUGAGGCGCGAAAGCCAGGGGAGCAAACGGG
RNAcentral lists this ribosomal RNA (253 nucleotides) under uncultured bacterium. RNAcentral's name for it is "partial 16S ribosomal RNA". It matches the Rfam family "Bacterial small subunit ribosomal RNA", at positions 524 to 776 of the family's 1533-position model. The record is from RNAcentral.